GCGGAUGUGGUGGAACGGUAUACACGCUAGCCUAAGGAGCUAGUCCCGAAAGGGGUGGAAGUUCGAAUCUUCUCAUCCGCA
RNAcentral lists this transfer RNA (81 nucleotides) under bacterium. Its description in RNAcentral is "tRNA-Leu". It matches the Rfam family "tRNA". From Rfam's summary of the family: Transfer RNA (tRNA) molecules are approximately 80 nucleotides in length. Their secondary structure includes four short double-helical elements and three loops (D, anti-codon, and T loops). Further hydrogen bonds mediate the characteristic L-shaped molecular structure. tRNAs have two regions of fundamental functional importance: the anti-codon, which is responsible for specific mRNA codon recognition, and the 3' end, to which the tRNAs corresponding amino acid is attached (by aminoacyl-tRNA synthetases). tRNAs cope with the degeneracy of the genetic code in two manners: having more than one tRNA (with a specific anti-codon) for a particular amino acid; and 'wobble' base-pairing, i.e. permitting non-standard base-pairing at the 3rd anti-codon position. The record is from RNAcentral.